Molecule: RNA transcript, 4225 nt
Organism: Globicephala melas (long-finned pilot whale)
Lineage: Eukaryota; Metazoa; Chordata; Mammalia; Artiodactyla; Delphinidae
Gene: BUD23
Gene name: BUD23 rRNA methyltransferase and ribosome maturation factor
Source: RefSeq, a predicted model, not a curated record
GGCGCCAGGCCGAGGACAUAAAAGCCGGACACCCGAAAGAAAUCGCGCGAGUGUUGUUGCAGAGGCGCGGGGAUGGCGGCACGUGGGCAGAGACCCGAGCACAGCGGGCCUCCGGAGCUGUUUUACGACAAGAAUGAAGCCCGGAAAUACGUGCGCAACUCACGGAUGAUUGAUGUCCAAACCAAGAUGGCUGGGCGAGCGUUGGAGCUCCUCUGUCUGCCUGAGGGUCAACCUUGUUAUCUGUUGGAUAUUGGCUGUGGUUCUGGGCUGAGUGGAGAUUACCUCUCAGAUGAGGGGCACUACUGGGUGGGCAUUGACAUCAGCCCUGCCAUGCUGGAUGUGGCCCUGGACCGAGACACGGAGGGAGACCUGCUUCUGGGGGACAUGGGUCAGGGCAUCCCCUUCAAACCGGGCUCCUUUGAUGGUUGUAUCAGCAUUUCUGCGGUGCAGUGGCUGUGUAGUGCUAACAAGAAGUCCGACAUUCCUGCCAAGCGCCUGUACUGCUUCUUUUCUGCUCUUUACUCUGUUCUGGUCCAUGGAGCUCGGGCUGUCCUGCAGCUGUACCCUGAGAACUCAGAGCAGUUGGAGCUGAUCACGACCCAGGCCACCAGGGCCGGCUUCACUGGUGGUGUGUUGGUGGACUAUCCCAACAGCGCCAGAGCCAAGAAGUUCUACCUCUGUUUGUUUUCUGGACCUUCGACCUUUAUACCAAUGGCCCAGAACGAAGAUAAUGAGGAAGAGGAGGCCAGGGAGUCCACGUUCACGGUUGAGAGCCUGUCAGGGUCCGGUGUGGCAGAGACACCAAGGCGGAAAUAGGACCUGGGAACCCUUCAGACCUGUGCCUGCACCUGCCUCCGGCUGAGCUAGUGGAGCCCUUCCGGAUGUCUGUGGGCAGCCUUCCUCUCUGCCUGCCCUCUUGCCAUACCCAGCAGGCUGUCCCCUCCUCCCAAGGCUGCCUCCUUCACCUACAUCCCGGACCCCAUCCCCACUUGGCCCCUGUGGCUCUCGUUCCUCUCCCGCAUCCUCAUGUUUACCCUCCUGAGUCAUCCCCAUCAGCACACAAACAUCCUGCGCGAUUUCUCCUGUCUUCAAAAAGGGUCCUUCCUUAACCCCGUAACAGCUCCUGGCGGCCACCCUGUUCAUCGGCUUCCCUUUAUGACCGAACUCCUCACACUGUCUCCUCUGCCAUUCUCACUCCUCUCCUCUGGCUCAUGCUUGUCUCAUCACAAAUUGCUCUCUUUUUUUUCAGUACGCGGGCCUCUCACUGUUGUGGCCUCUCCCGUUGCGGAGCACAGGCUCCGGACGUGCAGGCUCAGUGGCCAUGGCUCACGGGCCCAGCCACUCCGCGGCAUGUGAGAUCUUCCCGCACUGGGGCACGAACCCGUGUCCCCUGCAUAGGCAGGCGGACUCUCAACCACUGCGCCACCAGGGAAGCCCCACAGUUUGCUCUCUUGAUCAAGGCCACCGCCAGGCUGUCUUCGCCAAACCCAUGGUCACUUCCCAGUCCUUUUUCCUUCUCCAUGUUCAUUGUAACUUGCCUGCUCAUUAGGAGCUGAUGCAGCCGAUCGCUCCCCUAACGCUUUCCUCACUUGGCCUCCCACCCAAUGUCCCGGUUUUCUGUUAACCUCACUGGCUGUUCCUUCUUGGUCCACUCUGGGGCCCACCCUGGACCCCUUUUCUCUCUGUGCUGCUGCCUUAGACACCAGCUACAGGUUCAGAACCUCCAGGUUUCUAUGCUUGGUCUCAAUCCCACCUCUGCUUUCCAAACCACCUCCCCUCCUAAAUAUCCAUACCUGGACUUCCACGGGUCUCUGGAACAAAACAGAGCUCUUGGUCUCCAUCCCCGAACUUCCUCCCUCCAUUCUUUCCAUUCUCAGCCCUUCCUGGUUUCCUUACAUUUUACAUCUAGUCACUCCAUCCCUUUUCCCCACUCCUACCUGGUCUCUGUCUUUGCUGCCUAGAUUACUGAAAGCUACCUCACUUGUCUCCUUACUUCUGACUUUGCCUCUUUGAAUUCAUUUGCUGUGCAGCAAGACGGAGACUUCCCUUUUUCUUUUACGUUUUUGAAAUGUAAAUCAUAUCUUGCCAUUUCUCAGUUCAGUAUCUUCAGUUGAGUUCUUGUUACCUUUAUUUUCCCUACCACCUUUCACUGCUCUAAAUCAUAAGCAUUCGUUUACUUGGUAUUACUUCUGUCCCCAACUAGAAUGAAAACUUGGUGGGGACUUGCACUGUAUCCCUGAAACCGGAAUAGUGUCUUGUUAGCAAAAGGUGUUCAAUAUUUGUUGAAGGAACAAUUGAUUAUAAGGUAGUGAAGAAUGAGGUGUUUCUUAGUUCUGAUUAGUAGGGGUGAAAGGUUUUCAGACUCUUACGACGUUUAAGAGGAAAAAUGAGCCGAGAAUGGAUGAGUUAGGAAGGCCCACCUGUGGUGAAAAUCAUGAGUGCGGUCCUCCUGUUCACCAUGGAUUGAUGCCCUCUGACCCAUUGGCCCUCCGCGGUCAUCUCCCUUAGCUUCCUCACCCAUUCCCCGUGGGGACUUGGGGGCUCUCCUAGCCGUUUCUGCUCUAGGGUGCCCAUUGCUUGCUCUCAGGGAGUGGUCCCGUCUCCUGCUUCCCCUCCGUCUAUCUUAGGCUCCCUCUUGUCCUCACGCCGGUGUCUACAGACGACGUGUCCUAACUGUAAACUUAGGUAAGUUGUGGGACCUGAUCAUCCAUUUCUCGUGUUUAAAAUUGGGGGGGAUGUGCCACCCUCUUGGGCAGUGAGUUGAGUCGAGGGCAUGUCUGUACAGGACUCAGCACAGUGCCUGGCGCGGACCUCAUUUCCCUACAGGCUCUUCCUUUUGAAGUCCUCGGAUUUGAGGAGGGUGGGAGGAGGCCUUUGUCUACUGUAAGGCUGAUGGGGCUUCUCCCGGUGCUGUCACUUCUGUCUGAUCACAUUCAGGCCACUUACUGUAAAUAAAUAGGUAAAUCAAGGAAAAGUAUUUUAAACUUUUACCUGACUUAUCUCUAAUUUCUUCCCCCCGCCCCCCAACAACUUUGCUUGACCUAUGUAUUCCUUAAUCCUCGUCACUCAGCCUCUACCGUACCACUCGUCAGCUGCUCUCUCCAAAGGCUCCGUCCCCUCUGGCAUUUGCACUGUGGACUCCGCUCUCCUCUUGGCACCUGUGGUUGGGGUCGCUUACCGUCUUCACUGCUCCCUUUGUCUCCCCUGAUGACUCUUUCCCAUCGUCCCUCCCGCAGCUCACAUCUUGCCCCCUGUUCACUGUGCUACCCCAGAGCUCGUCCUUCCUUAGAGACUCCUGGGGAUUAGUCCUGCAUCUGUUUAGUCCUGCAUCUCCAGCAGCCUGCUUUGCACCUGGCACAUCAGACUCCUGCCCCCUCACUGUAGGCCCUCUUAACUUUCUUUCGUGAACUGCUAUCUGCACACCCCAGAGUCUAGGACAUGUUGUGUUCCUCCUGUGGUAGAAAGCCUCGCUGCUUCCUGGAGGGAGAGCACGCUCCUUGCUGGUUGGUGUUCACACCUCCAUGAACUGGACCAGCCAGGUGGGAUUCUGAGUUGGUGGGUUUUUUUUUUGUUUUUUUUUUUUUGGUGUUUUUUUUUAAUCUGACUUUUACUAUUAGGUUAGAACAGAUGAGAAGUAGGAGCCGGAAGGGUGUGUCAUGCAGUCCGGCUUCCACUGGUCCUCAGGCGAGGAGGACACUUACGAGGACGACUCAAUCUUCAGCUGACCCUCAGUCUCACUUGGACCCUUCCCCUCCUUACACUCAAUGACUCCAGGCAACAGGGCUCUUCUGCUCCCUAACCUUCCUCUUCAGUCCUUUCCCUGUGCCUCAUUUUCAUGUAUUGCUUCUUGUCUGGAAUGCUGGCCCGCCUUCUGCAUGAAGCAGCUUAUCUCUGUGGCCCUCUCCUUUUCCCCAUCACUGCCUUAGCAGCUCCUGGCCUCCCUGCUCUUGCUUUGCCUCAUGCGGACGGUCGCUACCACAGCCCAGCCGUGGACUCUUCAGGGGCAGGGCUGGUUCACAGCCACUGUAGAACGUCCACGGGCCGUGCACGCAGGUACUCAGGGAAUGGUUACUCAGAGGGCAAGCAGCCUCCGUGGUGUGUUCGACGCUGAAAACAGUUGGAUUCCAACUGCCAGGGUCCCGUACAGGAUGGCGAGGCGGGGAGUGGUGAGGAAGAGCCGAGAGUGGGUGCUGGAGAAGAAGGAGCGCCGGCGGCGGCAGGGCAA